Molecule: ribosomal RNA, 177 nt
Filed under: Geomyces sp.
Lineage: Eukaryota; Fungi; Ascomycota; Leotiomycetes; Thelebolales; Pseudeurotiaceae
Description: partial large subunit ribosomal RNA
Source: RNAcentral
AGAGAAAAGCUCAAUCUUAAAAUCUGUAGGCUUUUUUGUCUACCGAAUUGUAGUUUUAAAAUUUAUAUUUUAGAGGCAUUUAAAUUGAAAAAGUGGAAAACACGAAUUUCCUAUCAUUGAGGGUGAGAAUCCCGUUAAUUUCUUUUUAAAUGUUUCAUUAUUAAAAUAUAUUUUUAC